CCCACUUCGUGUCUACCAAAUGACAGCCUGGUGCUCGCUCUUGGUGAUUUGGCCUUGACUUCAGCCAAGCAGCUGAUGCAGACGAAGCCUCCGUUUGCAGGACUGGCAAAGUGCACGCUAAAGAAAGAAGGAAGAAAUUUUUCAAAAAGCAGCUCUGGGGAGGUUUCAUACUCCCCCCCCCCCCCCGCCUUUUUUUAAUUUUUAAGUGAAUAUUUUCCAAAUUUGAUCAGUUCCAGCCCCUCCCUCCACUCCCACCCAACUGCCCUUUUUUCUCUCGUCAAAGCAUAAGCUACAGAGUUACAGUCUCGAGAUUUGGUGUAUCGCUUCCUGCCCCCGCCUCCCCUCCCCGCCCCCGUUCUCCGUCCUCUAUUGAAACACCUCGCCCAGCCUAGCGCACUGAGAGCUCUCAUUUUCCCCCCUUGCUCGGGAUGGUGCCACAGGAGGCUGUGCGGGCCCCGCUCCGCUUCGAAUGGUUGUGUUGAUGUUCCUUUCAGCUGGUCCUAUAGUACCCCUCCUCAGGAAUGUCUCCCCAGUGCAAGGACAAAGACUGAAGAGACUGCUAUAUUGAUGGACUCUCAAGCCAACUAUGAAGUUGAAACAAAGAAAGUGAUCACCUGAAGACACCUCCUCUGCUAAGAAACACCCCCAAAUUGUGCAGCUUCUGCCACUAGAACUCUCAGAACAAGAGACAAUCUUUUCAAGAAACAGAAAAACUCAAUAAUGACAUCUAGAUUUUCAUGAGCCAAGAACUUUCCCUUCCUCAUGUGUAUUCCUCUGUUUGUACUUAAAUUCAUGUGACAUUCAUUUUUUUCCUAGUAUGGAUAUGCUUAUUAAUGCACUUGUUUCAAAAUCCCAAAUUGCACAAAUGUGUUAAUAUUUUAAGAAACAAAAUGAAUCCUACAAGGAGAAUGAUUUUUAGCCACACAUAGGGUUGGAUCUUGAGAGUGACCUACAGAAUAAAAGUACUUUUAAAAUAAAGUAGUCAGAGGCUAUUCAAAGGGUAAAAUAAUCAUAGUACCACAUUGGUCCACUUGACACUAACCAAUCGAUCAUUUUUUUUUAAUCAAGAAAGCUAGAUUCUAUCAGAUAAAAUCACUGCUUCUAAAGAGUUUAAAUCUAGUUAGAAAAAGUUAUAGAAAUGUUUGCAAAGAUAAGUAACAGAUAGAGUCAGUAGAGGAUAAGAUCAAAAACAAAACCAAGCAAAAGAUGAGUUCAGGGGAGUUUGCCAUCAAGUUGGCAAAACUGACUUACUUAGGGAAGAAAGUUAUAAAACAGGAAAAUAUGAGAUGAACCUUGAGUGAUGUGGAAGAUUUAGAUAAAUGGAAAGGAAGGAGAAAAUGGAGUUCUUUAGGUGGUUGUAAUUGGAGGAGGAAAUGAAUACACACAUCUUGUUGACUUAAACCCAGACAUUCAGCAGCUCUCUAUACAUAUCUGGAAAAGACUGCACAGUCACCUCCUGUCUCUCACCCCAGGUAUUACUUAGAAUUAUUAUCAUAUUUCCCUUCCUUUAAAGUAAGUAAGGGUGAUUGGUGACAAUAUGGAGAACUAUGAUUUUUCCAUUAACCUAAUAAUAAUUGGUAUUUAUUGAGUUCUGUUAAGCAUUUUACAUAUUAACUCACUUAAGCCUUUCAACAGCCUUGCAAAAUAGGUAUUAUUAUCCCCAUUUUACAGGCAAGAAAACUGAGGUUUAAGUAACUUGCCGAAGUGCCAUAUACAGGGCUCACAUUCAGUAUUGCAGUUGCAAAGCUCAUGAUCUAUAGUGCCAAGUUGCAAUAUUGUAGUCAAUGUCACAAUUAUUACCCCUUUUUAUAUUCCUUGAUAUUUUUCCAUGGCAAACAAUUAGCUAUUUCAUUUAAUAAUCACCUAAAACUUUUCAGUCUUCUGAUUAAAAUUACGCUGGAGUGAUAGAAUGUAUUUUCAUGAUAGAAAUUGGGAAAAAAAAUGGGGAAUGAAGUUUAUCAGCAUUUCAGACUUGUUUUUUUUUUUUUUUUUUGCAAGACUUUGAUGAGAUUGUUCACUUUUGUCUAUGUAAAAUCCCAAAUCCUUGAGAAUAAAAAAGGGGGAGGUUUAAGUCACUUGUUGCAAUGCCCUUUUUAAUAGAGGCAAUAAAUCUAAAGGCCAUAAAUUUAGAGUGACUUACAGAAGAUCGAACUUUGGAGUGUGGCAGAGUAAGGGAUGGAAACCGGGCCCUCCAGUUCACUAUCAGUAGCUUUUGCACUGGUCUGCCCUUCCUAAAUUAAGUAUGCACUUCAAUUUGAUGAGUGGAAACAGUCUAUCUGGGCAGUAACCAGGGAGCUUUGUGCCUAGUAGAUUGCUUCUGUUCUGCACUUCUUUGGUUUCCCACCUCAAUGUAAAAAAUAGCUAGCAAUGAAGUCCAGAAGUUGUCAAUGGUUCAUCCCCAGAAGAAUGCAUAAUGUCCAAAGUUGUAUGUGUAUGAUGUCUUCAAUGGUAUUAAGUUAUUUCAAAUUCUUAGUUCACCUACAUAAAUCAUUUCUAACAAGCAUCUUCUUAACCAACUUUAUGCACAGUGUAUGUUUGUAAGUGCUUCUGCACGAAUGUUUAUACAUGACUGUUUCCAUAGUACUUAUGUUUUUAAAAAUAUUCAGUCAUUUCCUACUAUAAUCCUCAUGUAUCCAUGUAACUGACUCAAAAAUACUUCAGCCACAGAAAGCUAAAACUGAGCAAAUCUCAUUCUUCUUUUCCAUCCCCUUUGCAUGUGGCUGGCAUUUAGUAAUGAUUAAUAAUAUGGCCAGCUGAAUAACAGAGGUUUGAGACACAAUUCUUUCUCAAAGGAGUCAGCUAAGCUGGGUCUACUUAUGGACAAACAUCUAAAUGUGUGGAAGUAUCUGAUAUUUGACAAUGGUAAAUUUCCACUUAGCUAGCUAGCAUUGUCAGACUUCAAUCUCCUCAUGGCUCUGGCCGUCCUGUUUUAAGCAUGAUAAUUGUUGGCCACAUCUCACAUAGUUCUCAUUGAGUGAGUUCAUAAAUAAACAGGGUUUUUUUUUUUUUUUAAAGAGCAGCCAAGCACAAAGUGUGACUUUGUUGACAUUUUAUGUGACUUUGUCAUAUGUUCCUAACCCCCAAUAAAAGCAAUGUUGCAUCAACUGUGAAAAAAAAAAAAAAA
This 3124-nucleotide long non-coding RNA is filed under the name Homo sapiens (human). RNAcentral's name for it is "mir-100-let-7a-2-mir-125b-1 cluster host gene, transcript variant 3 (MIR100HG)". Lineage: Eukaryota; Metazoa; Chordata; Mammalia; Primates; Hominidae. The record is from RNAcentral.